This 303-nucleotide ribosomal RNA is filed under the name Hydromanicus melli. Its description in RNAcentral is "eukaryotic LSU rRNA". It matches the Rfam family "Eukaryotic large subunit ribosomal RNA", at positions 72 to 347 of the family's 3401-position model. The record is from RNAcentral. Lineage: Eukaryota; Metazoa; Arthropoda; Insecta; Trichoptera; Hydropsychidae.
GGAUUCCCCGAGUAGCGGCGAGCGAAACGGGAACAGCCCAGCGCUGAAUCCCGUCACCCUAGCGGGCGACCGGGAAAUGUAGCGUUCGGGAGGAGAGUUAAUAUUUCGCGUGGUCACGGCGGCCAGUCCAAGUCCAUCUUGAAAGGGGCCCUGCUUAUCCGUAGAGGGUGCCAGGCCCGUAGUCGACGGUCGCCGGCCGCGACGGUCUCUCUCCCUAGAGUCGGGUUGCUUGAGAGUGCAGCCCUAAGCGGGUGGUAAACUCCAUCUAAGGCUAAAUACUACCACGAGACCGAUAGCGAACAA